This 572-nucleotide ribosomal RNA is filed under the name Linocarpon livistonae. RNAcentral's name for it is "eukaryotic LSU rRNA". It matches the Rfam family "Eukaryotic large subunit ribosomal RNA", at positions 74 to 665 of the family's 3401-position model. Lineage: Eukaryota; Fungi; Ascomycota; Sordariomycetes; Chaetosphaeriales; Linocarpaceae. The record is from RNAcentral.
AUUGCCUUAGUAACGGCGAGUGAAGCGGCAACAGCUCAAAUUUGAAAUCUGGCUUCGGCCCGAGUUGUAAUUUGUAGAGGAUGCCUUGGUGGGUGCUCUUGUCUGAGUUCCCUGGAACAGGACGUCUUAAAGGGUGAGAAUCCCGUAAAGAGUUGGACACCAAGCCUAUGUAAGGCUCUUUCCAAGAAUCGAGUAGUUUGGGAAUGCAGCUCUAAAUGGGUGGUAAAUUCCAUCUAAAGCUAAAUAUUGGCGAGAGACCGAUAGCGAACAAGUACAGUGAUGAAAGAUGAAAAGCACUUUGAAAAGAAAGUGAAAAAGUACGUGGAAUUGUUGAAAGGGAAGCGUUUGAGACCAGACUCGUGCCCUGUGAAUCACCUUGCCUUCUGGCGGGGCACUUCGCAGCUUAUCGGGCCAGCAUCGGUUCUCGCAGGGGGAUAAUGGCUUCAGGAAUGUGACUUUCUUCGGGAAGUGUUAUAGCCUGUUGCAGAAUCUCCUGCCGGGGAACCGAGGUUCGCGCAUCUGCAAGGAUGCUGGCCGUAAUGGUCCCCAAACCGCCCGUCUUGAAACACGGA